UACAGAGGGGGCAAGCGUUGUUCGGAAUUACUGGGCGUAAAGCGUGCGCAGGCGGUUCGUUAAGUCAGAUGUGAAAGCCCCGGGCUCAACCUGGGAACUGCAUUUGAAACUGGCGGGCUUGAGUAUGGCAGAGGGGGGUGGAAUUCCCAGUGUAGAGGUGAAAUUCGUAGAUAUUGGGAAGAACACCGGUGGCGAAGGCGGCUCGCUGGACAAGUAUUGACGCUGAGGUGCGAAAGCGUGGGGAGCAAACAGG
This 253-nucleotide ribosomal RNA is filed under the name uncultured bacterium. RNAcentral's name for it is "partial 16S ribosomal RNA". It matches the Rfam family "Bacterial small subunit ribosomal RNA", at positions 524 to 776 of the family's 1533-position model. The record is from RNAcentral.